GGGGAGAGGUCGCCUGACGCAGAACGAGAGGAAAAAAGAAUGGAUAACGGACGCCCGCCCGACCGCCGGUCGUCACACUCGCAUUCUUUCUUUCCUCCACACACAUACAAAAAAAAUAUUAUUAUAAAGUGACCGAUCGCGGUGACGGGGACUCGUGGAGAGGCGGCAAACGACGGGUGGUGGCAGUGGAGGAGGUUGGGGAUUUAUGUUUGUGGACUGUAUGAUGCAGGGAAUGGACGUUUUAAAAGAGCUGCUGCUGCUUGAGGAUGAAGACGACGAGCUGUAACGGGAUGCCCUCUUUCCCUCCCGUGUUUGUGAACGUGUGAUUUUUAAACCAGUCCACUGGCUGAGGUAGUAGUUUGUGUUGUUGGAAGGGUCUGUGACACUGCCCAGUAUGGAGAUAACUGCGCAAGCUACUGCCUUGCUAGUGCUGGUGAUUGACUCUCCUCCGAGACACCAUUGCAACAUCCACUGGCUGUCAGAGUAAUUCGUCUAAUAUUCUAUAUUUGGACUUUUCUCUUUGCAAGUUUAAACUAAUUGUAUUGUGCAUUGCACGGGAUUUAUGUUUUGCUUUUCUAAAAAAAUUGCGAUUUGCAACACCGGUUGUUUUUAGGCCUUUGCUUGACCCCUAUCCUACACAAAUUACAGUCAUAGGAUGUUAUGGGUUAUUUGAUUUAUGUCGAAUGUACUGUCAAGUAUGAUGCUUCGUGAUCCUUUGUUAUAUAGCCUAUUAUAAAUGUGUGUGCUUCCAAAGACGACAUUUUUUUUUAAAAAGGCACUAUUUUGUGGCAAAGACCGAUUUAGAGAGACUUUGGUGCUUUAUUUCAAUGCGAGGAUGUUUUAUAAGGCAUAUUGUAUGGACUAGGGAGUAAACAAAAGAUCCAACAUAUGCCGUUCCUUGUAGAAUCAGUCUGAAGCAGAGCCCUGACCCAAAACCUCGCCUGUCCAUUCCCUGCAUGGAUGCUUCCUGACCUGCUGAGUCACUCCUCUUUGCUCAAGAUUCUACCUUCUGCAGCUCCUUGUAUCUCCAAACAGAUCAUCUACUCUGCCACUGUUUACAUAGCUUCCCUUCUCCCAUGAACUUUUAAUCAAUAUUUGUUUCUUGCAAUGCAGUACAAAAUGAUUACGGCCCUGAGUAGGGCAGCAAACCAAAAUACAUGCCAAUUAUUUAUAGGAUGUUAAGUUUGCUGUUAACUUAUUAACCUGUUAAAACUGCACCAGUGCUAUCAAGUUUAAUUUCAAGUACAUAUCUGGAAUUAAUGUCAUUUGUAUUAACUAACAUUGUAUUGCCAUUUAUUCAAAUUAAAGCCGAUUUUAAUAUCAA
Molecule: long non-coding RNA, 1324 nt
Organism: Leucoraja erinaceus (little skate)
Lineage: Eukaryota; Metazoa; Chordata; Chondrichthyes; Rajiformes; Rajidae
Exons: 2
Source: RefSeq, a predicted model, not a curated record